UACGGAGGGUGCAAGCGUUGUUCGGAAUUACUGGGCGUAAAGGGCGCGUAGGCGGUAAUGUAAGUCAGAUGUGAAAUCCUUCGGCUUAACCGAAGAACUGCAUCUGAAACUGCAUAACUAGAGUACAGAAGAGGGAAACGGAAUUCCCGGUGUAGAGGUGAAAUUCGUAGAUAUCGGGAGGAACACCAGUGGCGAAGGCGGUUUCCUGGUCUGAUACUGACGCUGAGGCGCGAAAGCGUGGGGAGCAAACAGG
Molecule: ribosomal RNA, 253 nt
Filed under: uncultured bacterium
Lineage: Bacteria
Description: partial 16S ribosomal RNA
Rfam family: Bacterial small subunit ribosomal RNA
Source: RNAcentral